Molecule: ribosomal RNA, 235 nt
Filed under: uncultured bacterium
Lineage: Bacteria
Description: partial 16S ribosomal RNA
Rfam family: Bacterial small subunit ribosomal RNA
Source: RNAcentral
CGGGACGGGGUGGAGUAAUGUCUGGGAAGCUGCCUGAUGGAGGGGGGUAACUACUGGAAACGGUAGCUAAUACCGCAUAACGUCGCAAGACCAAAGAGGGGGACCUUCGGGCCUCUUGCCAUCGGAUGUGCCCAGAUGGGAUUAGCUAGUAGGUGGGGUAAAGGCUCACCUAGGCGACGAUCCCUAGCUGGUCUGAGAGGAUGACCAGCCACACUGGAACUGAGACACGGUCCAG